UUGUCUGCAGAUCACAGCCACACAUAUAGACACACAAAAGAUAGGAAGUUUGUACCUCCAAAGUCGGCUAAAUUAUUUCUGAAGACCCUUGUUAGUGGCCCUGUGGAACUGUCUUCACUUUUGUAGAACUAGAGCUUGAGAUGAUCAUUAUGACAUAGCACUUCAGAAGGAUAGUCACUUAGAUGUCAUAAUGGCUGGGCUGUGGACACAAGGAAUUUUCAAGACAAGUUAGAGGCAGAUUGAUACCACCAACCAAGCCAGCUAUCUGUCUCCACCUGGAGCAGAAAUCUACCACACCUAUGUAAGAUAAAAACAUGUCAAGAUUCCGCCGAUAUCAUAGACAUCGCAGCAAAAAAUGUGGCAAUCGUAAAGGGAAAGCACGUGGGAAAAAGAAAGGCCGGAAAAAAGGACAUGGAGCCCGACACACAAAAAAAGGAGGUCGUCACCACUAUAGGAGAUGUGUAAUAUAUUAAUCUGGAACUGUGAAGACCUGGUGAGAAGAAAUUAUUGCAUGAUCCGAACUGACAACUUUCUCCAGACAUAACAUCGACAUAAAGAAAAAAAAUCAGGAAAUGAUGUAGAUCAUUUCCAAAUAAAACCUCCUUGGAAUGUU
Pantherophis guttatus is the source of this 613-nucleotide long non-coding RNA. RefSeq lists it as uncharacterized. The record is from RefSeq and is a predicted model, not a curated record. NCBI's taxonomy places the organism in Eukaryota, Metazoa, Chordata, Lepidosauria, Squamata, Colubridae.